GAUGAACGCUAGCUACAGGCUUAACACAUGCAAGUCGAGGGGAAACGACAUCGAAAGCUUGCUUUUGAUGGGCGUCGACCGGCGCACGGGUGAGUAACGCGUAUCCAACCUGCCCACCACUUGGGGAUAACCUUGCGAAAGUAAGACUAAUACCCAAUGAUAUCUCUAGAAGACAUCUGAAAGAGAUUAAAGAUUUAUCGGUUAUGGAUGGGGAUGCGUCUGAUUAGCUUGUUGGCGGGGUAACGGCCCACCAAGGCUACGAUCAGUAGGGGUUCUGAGAGGAAGGUCCCCCACAUUGGAACUGAGACACGGUCCAAACUCCUACGGGAGGCAGCAGUGAGGAAUAUUGGUCAAUGGACGAGAGUCUGAACCAGCCAAGUAGCGUGCAGGAUGACGGCCCUAUGGGUUGUAAACUGCUUUUAUAAGGGAAUAAAGUGAGUCUCGUGAGACUUUUUGCAUGUACCUUAUGAAUAAGGACCGGCUAAUUCCGUGCCAGCAGCCGCCGCCG
RNAcentral lists this ribosomal RNA (508 nucleotides) under uncultured bacterium. RNAcentral describes it as "partial 16S ribosomal RNA". It matches the Rfam family "Bacterial small subunit ribosomal RNA", at positions 28 to 523 of the family's 1533-position model. The record is from RNAcentral.